UUGACCUCGGAUCAGGUAGGGAUACCCGCUGAACUUAAGCAUAUCAAUAAGCGGAGGAAAAGAAACCAACCGGGAUUGCCCCAGUAACGGCGAGUGAAGCGGCAAGAGCUCAAAUUUGAAAUCUGGCCCCUCCGGGGUCCGAGUUGUAAUUUGCAGAGGAUGCUUCGGGUGCGGCCCCUGUCUAAGUGCCCUGGAACGGGCCGUCAGAGAGGGUGAGAAUCCCGUCUUGGGCAGGGUGCCCGUGCCCGUGUGAAGCUCCUUCGACGAGUCGAGUUGUUUGGGAAUGCAGCUCUAAAUGGGUGGUAAAUUUCAUCUAAAGCUAAAUACCGGCCGGAGACCGAUAGCGCACAAGUAGAGUGAUCGAAAGAUGAAAAGCACUUUGAAAAGAGAGUUAAACAGCACGUGAAAUUGUUGAAAGGGAAGCGCUUGCGACCAGACUCGGCCCCGGGGUUCAGCCAGCACUCGUGCUGGUGUACUUCCCCGGGGGCGGGCCAGCGUCGGUUUGGGCGGCCGGUCAAAGGCCCCAGGAAUGUAUCGCCCUCCGGGGUUGUCUUAUAGCCUGGGGUGCAAUGCGGCCAGCCCGGACCGAGGAACGCGCUUCGGCACGGACGCUGGCGUAAUGGUCGCAAACGACC
RNAcentral lists this ribosomal RNA (635 nucleotides) under Aspergillus multicolor. RNAcentral describes it as "eukaryotic LSU rRNA". It matches the Rfam family "Eukaryotic large subunit ribosomal RNA", at positions 1 to 649 of the family's 3401-position model. The record is from RNAcentral. Lineage: Eukaryota; Fungi; Ascomycota; Eurotiomycetes; Eurotiales; Aspergillaceae.